Molecule: long non-coding RNA, 706 nt
Organism: Grus americana (Whooping crane)
Lineage: Eukaryota; Metazoa; Chordata; Aves; Gruiformes; Gruidae
Exons: 3
Source: RefSeq, a predicted model, not a curated record
UCUUACAAGAGCUUUUUUCAGUUGGAUUAGCUCUGUUCUCAUGGCUAGUAUGACAAAGAGGUCCCAUAUUACAAGGAAAGUUUCACCAACUGCUGUUGCAGAUGGACGACUAAAUGAAACGUAUGUACUAGUUCCGUGCAAUUGGUUGUGGACCACAGGAGGAUAGUGGCACACGUCGGUGAAGCAGGUCAGCGUGGGAACACGGGUGCAGGCUGUGUAUGCAUUGCCUCACCUGUAAUGGGAGAGUGGGAGGAUAACAUGACCUCUGUGGCUCCCGGAGAAGACCAGAGAUGUGGCAUUGCAUCUGUUGGCGGUGUACAUACUUGCCUGUUCUCAAAAGCAGGGUUUUGUCCCAGACCGAGGGACUAAUGAUGUCUAUGAGCUGAGAGACCUCACUGGGAUGAGGCAUUCAGACAGCAUGACGGCAUACAGAAGGGAGCCAAGAAACCAGAGAGCAGACAACAAGUUGCAAGCCUGAGGACCACCUUGGCAACUAAGUCAGAAGGCGAAAUAAAACCACAACACUGGGUCUCGGCUCCAAAGGACUCGGGCUGUGAUCACGAGGGGAGAGGGAACACAGGGAGAUGCAGCUCCACGUGCAACCGAAGGGAACUUUGCCUGAUGAAGGAAAAAGGACUGCACUUCGCUUCACACGUUUGGUCAAAAAGUAUGGACCACUGAUUGACAAAGUGCACAAUCAACAGAC